AGCCGCGCGGCCAGGGUAACCGCGGGCUCGCGUGGGUGCUGCUGGCUACCUGUACAACUUCGUGCUCCGGCGUCACCAGCUAGCUAAAUCCUCGCAACGGUUCUGGGCGAUAGGGGCCGUUUUUGUCCCCCUUCUUCAGCAGAUGAGGGAAUUUGUUUCAAAAAGUUGUUACCUGCUCACGGAAACAGACGUCCUAAGCUAUUAACACAAUCUCCAGCUGUGUUCUAACCAAGACAGGAACCGAAGGGAACAGUAAAAAAUCAUUUUCCGCAUCCUUUUUAAGAUGCUUGAUGUCCAGGACUUUGAAACAGCUGAUUUCUUUUUAACCACCUCUCAAUAGGAUUCAUGGAAAAAACUCUGACAAGCACAGAUUUCUGAAAACUUUAAGGUCAUACCACUGGACUCGAGAAAUAUUACUGAACACUUGUUCUGAAGGCUGAUCCUAGACAGCAAGACUCAGAGAAUUGAGAGAAGACAAAAACAUUCAUCUAAUCGGGGCGGCUGGGUGGGGUGAAGUGAACCCAGCCUGAUUACCCUUAGCAUCUAACUCCACAGAAACUCUGCUCUCUAUUUUCUCAAUCUUCUCCAAUUCUUUAUGAAGGGGUUCAGGAAAUGCCGCCCCAAAAUAUGGUGCUUUGGUGUAAUACUUUGAGCUGAAGACACUUGAAAACAGUAUAUGCAGGGAGACGCUUUCUCUGAACUCCCCUUAUCUGUCUAAAGAUAGAUACCGCAAAGGAACUCAAUUUGUCAUCAAUUUUCCAUCAGUGAAACUCUUCCAGGAGUUUCAUCCACCAGUGAAGCUUAUCUCAAUCACAAGAGAAGAGACUAGAAGCCCACACCACACUUAGACAAAUGUCACAAACGAUCAUCUGUUCUUCUAAGGGCCAUUCAUCUUUUCCCAAAAUCAUUUACUCUGCCUGAAAUUGGCUACAUCCCUGGCUUCCUUCUCGCCUAUGUAGAGGGUAUAUAAGCUCCUAAAUCUCCCGGUUUUUCAGGUAAAGAAGAUAAAAUUUGGGAACUUAAAACUUGGCAAAGAAGGAAAUCCUUUUGGCAAUAUCAUAAAGAGGCCCAUUGUCACCAGAAGUGUAUAGUUUCUAACAGAUUUAUACAUUGGAAGUUGAUUUUGCUCCUAAUUUCAACAUGCCUAAUGAAAUAAAUAAUCAAAACAGUCUAAAAUUCUUCCUCCUCUCUGCCUCCUGCAAAAAGACAGCGUCUGGUAUUGUCCAC
This 1227-nucleotide long non-coding RNA is filed under the name Homo sapiens (human). Its description in RNAcentral is "HSALNT0294197". The record is from RNAcentral. Lineage: Eukaryota; Metazoa; Chordata; Mammalia; Primates; Hominidae.